Molecule: long non-coding RNA, 413 nt
Filed under: Elaeis guineensis (African oil palm)
Lineage: Eukaryota; Viridiplantae; Streptophyta; Magnoliopsida; Arecales; Arecaceae
Description: long non-coding RNA (EGUI_LNC048352)
Source: RNAcentral
UCUUACUCUUUGUGAGUUUUUGCUCUUGUUUUUGGAGGAUUUCCAAAAUAAGGAAAGGUUGAUCCGAACCUGAAAUCGGAGUGUUUUGAGUUUGCUUGUACCCGGGAAACAAGUGAUCUAGCUUGGGAUAGCUAGUGUCGGAGUUUCCGACGUUUUGUAUUCGGGUUGAAUACAAAGGAUAGUGGAUUGAAAUUCUCAAGUGGGAUCUUGGGGAGUGGAUGUAGGUGCAAGGUUAGCACCGAACCACUAUAAAUUCUUGUGUUUGUGGUGUGCUUUAUCGCUUUAUCUUAUUUCUUUAUUAUAUCCUUGCAAUACUGCUUUAGGUAAUUAAUAUUGUUUUAAGCCAUUGUUUUGUUCUUCAUAAGUUAUCUGUUGGGCUUAAAAUUUUUAGAAACCCAAUUCACCCCCCCCCC